CCUUAUCAAGAGUGGUGGAGGGUCUGGGCCCUAUGAAACCCGGCAACCUGAGUAAUCGAGGUGCUAAAUCCCACAGACAAUGUCUGAAAGAUGAGG
This 96-nucleotide non-coding RNA is filed under the name pig gut metagenome. RNAcentral describes it as "SAM riboswitch (S box leader)". It matches the Rfam family "SAM riboswitch aptamer (S box leader)". From Rfam's summary of the family: The SAM riboswitch is found upstream of a number of genes which code for proteins involved in methionine or cysteine biosynthesis in Gram-positive bacteria. The record is from RNAcentral.